Molecule: long non-coding RNA, 1309 nt
Filed under: Brassica napus (rape)
Lineage: Eukaryota; Viridiplantae; Streptophyta; Magnoliopsida; Brassicales; Brassicaceae
Description: long non-coding RNA (BNAP_LNC019643)
Source: RNAcentral
GAAUCGCGAUGUAAGAAGCUUGAUUUUGAUACAUAUAGUAAUGGAGAAUCACUAGGAAGUUGAAUAAAUUUCAUAGGAGUUAGGAUGAAGAAGCUAUCCCACUUUCAAAUCAGGUGAUCCCAUUUUUCCGGUUUGGGAAUAUGACAGCUUUAAAUGGAUACAUAAAGUAGUGGAGAACCAUUAGGAAGUUGAAUAAAUCUCAUAGGAGUUAGGAUGAAGAAGCUAUCCCACUCUCAAAUCAGGUGAUCCCGGUUUUCCUGUUUGGGAAUAUGACAGCUUCCUUGUUAUUCAUUUCAUAGGAGUUAGGAUGAAGAAGCUAUCCCACUUUCAAAAUCAGGUGAUCCCACGUUUGGUUUGGGAAAACUGGGAUCACCUGAUUUGAAAGUAGGAUAGCUUCUUCAUCCUAACUCCUAUGAGAUUUAUUCAACUUCCUAAUGGUUCUCCACUACUUUAUGUAUCCAAUUCAAGCUUCUUACAUCACGAUUCAUCCUGGUUUGAUUAGAAUGACAAAGAAGCUGUCAUAUUCCCAAACAGGAAAACUGGGAUCACCUGAUUUUGAAAGUGGGAUAGCUUCUUCAUCCUAACUCCUAUGAGAUUUAUUCAACUUUCUAGUGAUUCUCCAUUACUUUAUGUAUCAAAAUCAAGCUUCUUACAUCGCGAUUCAUCCUGGUUCGAUUAGAAUGACAAGGAAGCUGUUAUAUUCCCAAACAAGAAAACUAGGAUCACAUGAUUUGAAAGUGGGAUAGCUUCUUCAUCCUAACUCCUAUGAGAUUUAUUCAACUUCCUAGUGAUUCUCCAUUACUUUAUGUAUCAAAAUCAAGCUUCUUAGAUCGCGAUUCAUCCUGGUUUGAUUAGAAUAACAAGGAAGCUGUCAUAUUCCCAAACAGGAAAACCGGGAUCACCUGAUUUGAAAGUGGGAUAGCUUCUUCAUCCUAACUCCUAUGAGAUUUAUAUACACUUUUGUGUAUUAGAGCAUGAUUCAACUAAUCAGGGAUAAUCAGAUGAAAAGAUUAAAGAGAUUAAGAGAUUUUAGUGAGAGAAUAGAGAGAGAGACUCAAAACUCCAUUUGAUUGAUUAAUGAGAGAGUUUACAACACAUAUAGAUUAGGGAUACAUAAUUUCGUCCAGGUUCAGUCUAGCUAGGAUAAGAGGCAUGUGUAGUCAAAGAUGCUUGAUUCAAACUGGCCAAUAAGAUUCCUCACAUGCUUGGGUAUCUUGCUUUAGCUUUCCAGCUGGUGCCAGCCUGUCUAAAGCUCUCUAGCCUUGACCAGACCUUAUCCAAACUCCUCCUUGCUUAUCCAGACUCCUCC